UGAGGAAUAUUGGUCAAUGGACGCAAGUCUGAACCAGCCAAGUAGCGUGCAGGAUGACGGCCCUAUGGGUUGUAAACUGCUUUUAUGUGGGAAUAAAGUGGCGCACGUGUGCGCCAUUGCAUGUACCUCAUGAAUAAGGACCGGCUAAUUCCGUGCCAGCAGCCGCGGUAAUACGGAAGGUCCGGGCGUUAUCCGGAUUUAUUGGGUUUAAAGGGAGUGUAGGCGGUCUGUUAAGCGUGUUGUGAAAUUUAGGUGCUCAACAUUUAACUUGCAGCGCGAACUGUCAGACUUGAGUACACGCAGCGCAGGCGGAAUUCAUGGUGUAGCGGUGAAAUGCUUAGAUAUCAUGAGGAACUCCGAUCGCGAAGGCAGCCUGCGGGAGUGUUACUGACGCUUAAGCUCGAAGGUGCGGGUAUCGAACAGGAUUAGAUACCCUGGUAGUCCGCACAGUAAACGAUGGAUGCCCGCCGUUGGCGCCCUGCGCCUGCGGCCAAGCGAAAGCAUNNNNCAUCCCACCUGGGGAGUACGCCGGCAACGGUG
Molecule: ribosomal RNA, 540 nt
Filed under: uncultured bacterium
Lineage: Bacteria
Description: bacterial SSU rRNA
Rfam family: Bacterial small subunit ribosomal RNA
Source: RNAcentral